GUAGGUGGCAAGCGUUGUCCGGAAUUAUUGGGCGUAAAGCGCGCGCAGGCGGUCCUUUAAGUCUGAUGUGAAAGCCCACGGCUCAACCGUGGAGGGUCAUUGGAAACUGGGGGACUUGAGUACAGAAGAGGAAAGCGGAAUUCCAAGUGUAGCGGUGAAAUGCGUAGAGAUUUGGAGGAACACCAGUGGCGAAGGCGGCUUUCUGGUCUGUAACUGACGCUGAGGCGCGAAAGCGUGGGGAGCAAACAGGGAUUAGAUACCCUGGUAGUCCACGCCGUAAAUGAUGAGUGCUAAGUGUUAGGGGGUUUCCGCCCCCCUUAGUGCUGCAGCUAACGCAUUAAGCACUCCGCCUGGGAGUACGGCCGCAAGGCUG
Molecule: ribosomal RNA, 373 nt
Filed under: uncultured organism
Description: partial 16S ribosomal RNA
Rfam family: Bacterial small subunit ribosomal RNA
Source: RNAcentral